GGGAUGGCUCAGUGAUUAAGAGCACUGGCUCUUCUUCCAGAGGACCUGGGUUCAAUUCCCAGCACCCA
This 68-nucleotide transfer RNA is filed under the name Rattus norvegicus (Norway rat). It matches the Rfam family "tRNA". Rfam says of the family: Transfer RNA (tRNA) molecules are approximately 80 nucleotides in length. Their secondary structure includes four short double-helical elements and three loops (D, anti-codon, and T loops). The record is from Rfam by way of RNAcentral. Lineage: Eukaryota; Metazoa; Chordata; Mammalia; Rodentia; Muridae.